This 548-nucleotide ribosomal RNA is filed under the name uncultured Glomeromycotina. RNAcentral's name for it is "SSU rRNA". It matches the Rfam family "Eukaryotic small subunit ribosomal RNA", at positions 548 to 1098 of the family's 1831-position model. The record is from RNAcentral. Lineage: Eukaryota; Fungi; Glomeromycota.
UUGGAGGGCAAGUCUGGUGCCAGCAGCCGCGGUAAUUCCAGCUCCAAUAGCGUAUAUUAAAGUUGCUGCAGUUAAAAAGCUCGUAGUUGAAUUUCGGGACCAUCAUGUCGGUCGUGCCUCGGUACGUACUGGUAUUGUUGGUUUCUCCCUUCUGACGAACCAUGAUGUCAUUUAUUUGGUGUUGUGGGGAAUCAGGACUGUUACUUUGAAAAAAUUAGAGUGUUUAAAGCAGGCUCACGCUUGAAUACAUUAGCAUGGAAUAAUGAAAUAGGACGUUUGAUUCUAUUUUGUUGGUUUCUAGGAUCGACGUAAUGAUUAAUAGGGAUAGUUGGGGGCAUUAGUAUUCAAUUGUCAGAGGUGAAAUUCUUGGAUUUAUUGAAGACUAACUACUGCGAAAGCAUUUGCCAAGGAUGUUUUCAUUAAUCAAGUACGAAAGUUAGGGGAUCGAAGACGAUCAGAUACCGUCGUAGUCUUAACCAUAAACUAUGCCGACUAGGGAUCGGAUGAUGUUAAUUUUUUAAUGACUCAUUCGGCGCCUUACGGGAAAC